This is a non-coding RNA of Ciona intestinalis (vase tunicate), 526 nucleotides long. The record is from RefSeq and is a predicted model, not a curated record. NCBI's taxonomy places the organism in Eukaryota, Metazoa, Chordata, Ascidiacea, Phlebobranchia, Cionidae.
UACAUUCAUUCAUUAAUAAAUUAUCAUUAUAACCGCCAAGCUUCUAUGACAGUUAAUUUCUUUUAUUGUUGCCGCAUUAGACAACGCAUCCCUUUUGAUUUGUUUAUUAACGGAUGGUUUUCUGUAUAACAAAAUAAGAACGAUUAAAUAACGCAACGUUAAAGGAACAACAAAGUACUUACAAACUGUUUGCGGCUAUUAAUAUGAUACCAUCAUUUUGGAUUUAAUAACUUAUACAUCUGGAAUAGGAAAGAAUAAUUGGUGAAACGAUAAACUUAAAGCGAAUAUAUAAAGCUGGCUGUAAACUAAACGUGCAUACUAAACUUAAAGUCAAUGCAACUACAACUAAAGGACGUAUAGGAAACCAAGGAAGUAAGCCAAACCCGAGUGAUGCGGGCGGCGCUGAUUGGCUAGACGUUAGAGCACAUAAACUUAAAGGCACAUAAACUAAAACUUAAACGCACGAACGCAAAUACAGCACGCUUCAUUGAACUUAUAUACGAUUAACGGUAAAUCAAAUGCGGGU